GCGCGAAAGCGUGAUGGGGUUAUCCCGAGUGCCGUCCGAUGAGGAUGGCUUUUCCUCGGUGUAAGGAUCCGAGGGAAUAAAGGGGGGGCAAGACUGGUGUCAGCCGCCGCGGUAAUACCAGCUCCCUGAGUGGUAAGGACGAUUAUUUGGCCUAAAGCGUCCGUAGCCGGCUUAUCAAGUCUCUUGUUAAAUCCAAUGAUUCAAUCAUUGACCCGCAAGAGAUACUGUUAUGCUAGAGGACGGAGAGGUCGACGGUAGUCCAGGGGUAGGGGUGAAAUCCUAUAAUCCUUGGAGGACCACCAGUGGCGAAGGCGGUCGACUAGAACGUGCCUGACGGUGAGGGACGAAAGCUGGGGGAGCGAACCGGAUUAGAUACCCGGGUAGUCCCAGCUGUAAACGAUGCGGGCUAGGUGUUGGGGUAGCUACGAGCUACUCCAGUGCCGCAGAGAAGUUGUUAAGCCCGCCGCCUGGGGAGUACGGGCGCGAAAGCGCGCGAAAGCGCGCGAAAGCGCGCGAAAGC
Molecule: ribosomal RNA, 520 nt
Filed under: uncultured Thermoproteales archaeon
Lineage: Archaea; Thermoproteati; Thermoproteota; Thermoprotei; Thermoproteales
Description: bacterial SSU rRNA
Rfam family: Archaeal small subunit ribosomal RNA
Source: RNAcentral